UACGUAGGGCGCAAGCGUUGUCCGGAAUUAUUGGGCGUAAAGAGCUCGUAGGCGGUUUGUCGCGUCGGCUGUGAAAACCCGAGGCUCAACCUCGGGCCUGCAGUCGAUACGGGCAGACUAGAGUGUGGUAGGGGAGACUGGAAUUCCUGGUGUAGCGGUGAAAUGCGCAGAUAUCAGGAGGAACACCGGUGGCGAAGGCGGGUCUCUGGGCCGUAACUGACGCUGAGGAGCGAAAGCGUGGGGAGCGAACAGG
RNAcentral lists this ribosomal RNA (253 nucleotides) under uncultured bacterium. RNAcentral's name for it is "partial 16S ribosomal RNA". It matches the Rfam family "Bacterial small subunit ribosomal RNA", at positions 524 to 776 of the family's 1533-position model. The record is from RNAcentral.